CGGUGGAUCAUGUGGUUUAAUUCGAAGCAACGCGAAGAACCUUACCUGGGUUUGACAUCCCUUGACCGCCACAGAGAUGGCUUGUAUACAAGAACAGGUGUGACGAGCGCAACCCCUGUCCUUAGUUGCCAGCGGGAUGUCAAGUCUCAUGGCCUUUAUAUCCAGGCGACAUACAUGGACGGUACAAGGGAAGCGAAGGAGCGAUCUGGAGCCUCUCAAAAAGCCGUUCUCAGUUCGGAUUGGAGUGCAAUUCGACUCCAUGAAGUUGGAAUCGCUAGUAAUCGGGAUCAGCACGCCGCGGUGAAUACGUUCCCGGGCCUUGUACACACCGCCGUCACACCAUGGGAGCUGACUCAACCAGAAGACGGUGAGGCUAACCGCAAGGAGGCCGCCGUCGAAGUGGGGUUGGUGACUGGGGUGAAGUCGUACAAGGU
This 434-nucleotide ribosomal RNA is filed under the name uncultured delta proteobacterium. RNAcentral's name for it is "bacterial SSU rRNA". It matches the Rfam family "Bacterial small subunit ribosomal RNA", at positions 930 to 1497 of the family's 1533-position model. Lineage: Bacteria; Deltaproteobacteria. The record is from RNAcentral.